Molecule: ribosomal RNA, 497 nt
Filed under: uncultured bacterium
Lineage: Bacteria
Description: partial 16S ribosomal RNA
Rfam family: Bacterial small subunit ribosomal RNA
Source: RNAcentral
GAUGAACGCUGGCGGCGUGCCUAAUACAUGCAAGUCGAGCGAACGGACGAGAAGCUUGCUUCUCUGAUGUUAGCGGCGGACGGGUGAGUAACACGUGGAUAACCUACCUAUAAGACUGGGAUAACUUCGGGAAACCGGAGCUAAUACCGGAUAAUAUUUUGAACCGCAUUGUUCAAAAGUGUAAGACGGUCUUUCUUUCACUUAUAGAUGGAUCCGCGCUGCAUUAGCUAGUUGGUAAGGUAACGGCUUACCAAGGCAACGAUGCAUAGCCGACCUGAGAGUGUGGUCGGCCACACUGGAACUGAGACACGGUCCAGACUCCUACGGGAGGCAGCAGUAGGGAAUCUUCCGCAAAGGGCGAAAGCCUGACGGAGCAACGCCGCGUGAGUGAUGAAGGUCUUCGGAUCGUAAAACUCUGUUAUUAGGGAAGAACAUAUGUGUAAGUAACUGUGCACAUCUUGACGGAACAUAAUCAGAAAGCCACGGCUAGCUACGUG